CAGAGUUUACAACUCCCAAACCCAAAUGUGAACAUACCAAUCGUUGCUUCGGCGGACCCGCCCCGGCGUCCGGACCGGCCCUACAAGGCCGGCCGCGGCCCGGGCCCAGGCGGCCGCCGGAGACCCAACCAAAACUUUUUGUAUUAUCAGUGUCUUCUGAAUCCGCCGCAAGGCAAAACAAAUGAAUCAAAACUUUCAACAACGGAUCUCUUGGUUCUGGCAUCGAUGAAGAACGCAGCGAAAUGCGAUAAGUAAUGUGAAUUGCAGAAUUCAGUGAAUCAUCGAAUCUUUGAACGCACAUUGCGCCCGCCAGCAUUCUGGCGGGCAUGCCUGUUCGAGCGUCAUUUCAACCCUCGAGCUCCCUUUGGGGAGCCCGGCUGUUGGGGAUCGGCUGUACCGCCGGCCCCGAAAUGGAGUGGCGGCCCGUCCGCGGCGACCUCUGCGUAGUAGCAACACCUCGCACCGGAACCCCGACGUGGCCACGCCGUAAAACACCCCACUUUCUGAAC
RNAcentral lists this unclassified non-coding RNA (509 nucleotides) under Lecanicillium sp. 14Lec-18. RNAcentral's name for it is "partial contains ITS1, 5.8S rRNA and ITS2". The stretch from base 191 to 344 matches the Rfam family "5.8S ribosomal RNA". RNAcentral also lists the same sequence under 2 other names. The record is from RNAcentral. Lineage: Eukaryota; Fungi; Ascomycota; Sordariomycetes; Hypocreales; Cordycipitaceae.